CGGGACGGGUGAGUAAUGUCUGGGAAAUUGCCUGAUGGAGGGGGAUAACUACUGGAAACGGUAGCUAAUACCGCAUAACGUCGCAAGACCAAAGAGGGGGACCUUCGGGCCUCUUGCCAUCGGAUGUGCCCAGAUGGGAUUAGCUAGUAGGUGGGGUAACGGCUCACCUAGGCGACGAUCCCUAGCUGGUCUGAGAGGAUGACCAGCCACACUGGAACUGAGACACGGUCCAG
RNAcentral lists this ribosomal RNA (233 nucleotides) under uncultured bacterium. Its description in RNAcentral is "partial 16S ribosomal RNA". It matches the Rfam family "Bacterial small subunit ribosomal RNA", at positions 100 to 334 of the family's 1533-position model. The record is from RNAcentral.